GUCACUUUGCCGGAGUGGUUAACGGGAUCGCCUGCUAUCUUUAGCUGUGAGCGGUUGUGCUUUGCACGCGAGUGUUCGAAUCGCUCAGGUGACG
Coprinopsis sp. MPI-PUGE-AT-0042 is the source of this 94-nucleotide non-coding RNA. The record is from the annotation of a GenBank genome assembly. Lineage: Eukaryota; Fungi; Basidiomycota; Agaricomycetes; Agaricales; Psathyrellaceae.